GAAAUACAAGAAGAAUAAAUGACGUCAUGUCGCCACCCUCGCCAAAUUGUUUUAUAAACAAUAUCCUCGCAUGUUCGAAAAAGGAAACUUUGACAUGGGGCACCAAGAAUUCCAUCGUUUUUUCCAGACAGAAGAAGGAUCAAAGUGGUCUACAGUAUUUGCUAAUUAAUGAUGCUUUUAAGAAUACAAUGAACUCAUUAGCAUUCUGUCCUAAUGUCGAUAGUCCAGACUGUCCAGAAUUACUAAUUUCUGGUGGUGAUGAGGAUAACGUCAAAAUUUGGAAUGUGGAUACGUUAAAAUUGGUCUCCCAGUUCUCGUUUAAGGAUAGUAAAUCAAUUAUAGAAGUUGAUUGAUCAGUCAAAGAUACCAAUAUUGUAUAUGCAAUAAAUUCAGAGGGCUGUUUAAUGUAUUGUUACAUAUCAUAUCAGAUGUCAAAGAUAAUAUCUCUAGGCCAGAUAAUUCCUACAUGUUUGGCUUCGUGUCCCCACGACUCGAAUCUUGUAGCGAUAGGUACCAAAAGUGGAUUAAUUUAUAUUGUUCAAAAAGAAACAAUAUUAUAUAAAUUGGAUGGUCACGAUUAGAAAAAUAUAAUCAGUUUAUCGUGGUGUCCUUCGGAUAUGAACAUCAUAAAUAGAAAUGAUAAAAGAGAUUUACUUUUAGUUUCUAGCGCAGAAGACCGAUAUGUGAUUAUUUGGAAAGCUGGCGGAGAUGGUAAACGCGAGAUUUUGAUAAAUAUGCCAAGUUCGCCAUCUUGGUAUAAUAAACACAAACGCAUUUUAAUUUGGAUUGCAGUGUGUUUGGUGAAGUCAGUAGUGCUUUUAAUUUCCUCUCCUUGGGGUGAACUUUGGUCUUGGAAUCUUUCUACAAACAAAAAUAAACUUAUGUAUAAGCUGUUCCAUACAUAUCACAGGAAACCAUUGUUUUCCAUAGUCGCUCUAUCCAAAAAUGAUUCAAUAUCCGUCAAUGGCAAAACAAAGUUCGAACUUACGAUUUGGACUUACGCGCAAGAUCGCUGCAUUAUAUGUUGCAAAGCAAACAACAAUUCUAAAUCAGCGGUCCUGAAUUAUAA
Non-coding RNA from Nylanderia fulva, 1069 nucleotides. The record is from RefSeq and is a predicted model, not a curated record. NCBI's taxonomy places the organism in Eukaryota, Metazoa, Arthropoda, Insecta, Hymenoptera, Formicidae.